This 27-nucleotide small RNA is filed under the name Bombyx mori (domestic silkworm). RNAcentral describes it as "ovarian small RNA-6960". The record is from RNAcentral. Lineage: Eukaryota; Metazoa; Arthropoda; Insecta; Lepidoptera; Bombycidae.
UCAGAGAAUGCAGUGCACACAUCUGGU